This 189-nucleotide ribosomal RNA is filed under the name uncultured bacterium. Its description in RNAcentral is "partial 16S ribosomal RNA". It matches the Rfam family "Bacterial small subunit ribosomal RNA", at positions 1312 to 1500 of the family's 1533-position model. The record is from RNAcentral.
UCGACUGCAUGAAGUCGGAAUCGCUGUAAUCGCAGAUCAGCAAAGCUGCGGUGAAUACGUUCCCGGGCCUUGUACACACCGCCCGUCACACCACGGGAGUCGGUCGCGCCUGAAGCCGGUGGCCUAUCAGUAAUGGGGGAGCCGUCUAUGGCGAGAUUGGUAACUGGGGUGAAGUCGUAACAAGGUACC